RNAcentral lists this ribosomal RNA (487 nucleotides) under uncultured bacterium. Its description in RNAcentral is "bacterial SSU rRNA". It matches the Rfam family "Bacterial small subunit ribosomal RNA", at positions 28 to 516 of the family's 1533-position model. The record is from RNAcentral.
GAUGAACGCUAGCGGCAGGCCUAACACAUGCAAGUCGAGGGGUAGAACACUUCGGUGUUUGAGACCGGCGCACGGGUGCGUAACGCGUAUGCAAUCUACCUUGUACAGAGGGAUAGCCCAGAGAAAUUUGGAUUAAUACCUCAUAGUGUUGUCGAAUGGCAUCGUUUGAUAACUAAAGUUCCAACGGUACAAGAUGAGCAUGCGUCCCAUUAGUUAGUUGGUAAGGUAACGGCUUACCAAGACAAUGAUGGGUAGGGGUCCUGAGAGGGAGAUCCCCCACACUGGUACUGAGACACGGACCAGACUCCUACGGGAGGCAGCAGUGAGGAAUAUUGGACAAUGGGCGCAAGCCUGAUCCAGCCAUGCCGCGUGCAGGAUGACUGCCCUAUGGGUUGUAAACUGCUUUUAUACAGGAAGAAACACUGCUACGAGUAGCAGCUUGACGGUACUGUAGGAAUAAGGAUCGGCUAACUCCGUGCCAGCAGCC